AUACGGAGGAUCCGAGCGUUAUCCGGAUUUAUUGGGUUUAAAGGGAGCGUAGGUGGAUUGUUAAGUCAGUUGUGAAAGUUUGCGGCUCAACCGUAAAAUUGCAGUUGAAACUGGCAGUCUUGAGUACAGUAGAGGUGGGCGGAAUUCGUGGUGUAGCGGUGAAAUGCUUAGAUAUCACGAAGAACUCCGAUUGCGAAGGCAGCUCACUAGACUGUUACUGACACUGAUGCUCGAAAGUGUGGGUAUCAAACAGGAUUAGAUACCCUGGUAGUCCACACAGUAAACGAUGAAUACUCGCUGUUUGCGAUAUACAGUAAGCGGCCAAGCGAAAGCAUUAAGUAUUCCACCUGGGGAGUACGCCGGCAACGGUGAAACUUAAAGGAAUUGGCGGGG
RNAcentral lists this ribosomal RNA (393 nucleotides) under uncultured bacterium. Its description in RNAcentral is "partial 16S ribosomal RNA". It matches the Rfam family "Bacterial small subunit ribosomal RNA", at positions 523 to 918 of the family's 1533-position model. The record is from RNAcentral.